RNAcentral lists this ribosomal RNA (254 nucleotides) under uncultured bacterium. Its description in RNAcentral is "partial 16S ribosomal RNA". It matches the Rfam family "Bacterial small subunit ribosomal RNA", at positions 524 to 776 of the family's 1533-position model. The record is from RNAcentral.
GACGAACCGUGCGAACGUUGUUCGGAUUCACUGGGCGUAAAGGGUGCGCAGGUGGUUUGGCAAGUUUGACGUGAAAGCCCCGGGCUUAACCCGGGAAUGGCGUUGAAAACUGCUUGAACUGGAGGGUCGGAGGGGGGACUGGAAUUCUUGGUGUAGCAGUGAAAUGCGUAGAUAUCAAGAGGAACACCAGUGGCGAAGGCGAGUCCCUGGACGAUACCUGACACUGAGGCACGAAAGCCAAGGGAGCAAACAGG